GAUGAACGCUGGCGGCGUGCCUAAUACAUGCAAGUCGAGCGAACGGACGAGAAGCUUGCUUCUCUGAUGUUAGCGGCGGACGGGUGAGUAACACGUGGAUAACCUACCUAUAAGACUGGGAUAACUUCGGGAAACCGGAGCUAAUACCGGAUGAUAUUUUGAACCGCAUGGUUCAAAAGUGAAAGGCGGUCUUGCUGUCACUUAUAGAUGGAUCCGCGCUGCAUUAGCUAGUUGGUAAGGUAACGGCUUACCAAGGCAACGAUGCAUAGCCGACCUGAGAGGGUGAUCGGCCACACUGGAACUGAGACACGGUCCAGACUCCUACGGGAGGCAGCAGUAGGGAAUCUCCCGCAAUGGGCGAAAGCCUGACGGAGCAACGCCGCGUGAGUGAUGAAGGUCUUCGGAUCGUAAAACUCUGUUAUUAGGGAAGAACAUAUGUGUAAGUAACUGUGCACAUCUUGACGGUACCUAAUCAGAAAGCCACGGCUAACUACGUG
This 497-nucleotide ribosomal RNA is filed under the name uncultured bacterium. RNAcentral's name for it is "partial 16S ribosomal RNA". It matches the Rfam family "Bacterial small subunit ribosomal RNA", at positions 28 to 507 of the family's 1533-position model. The record is from RNAcentral.